UAGCUCAGUUGGUAGAGCAUGGUGUUUGCAACGCCAGGGUUGUGGGUUCAAUUCCCAU
Salmo salar (Atlantic salmon) is the source of this 58-nucleotide non-coding RNA. The record is from Rfam. Lineage: Eukaryota; Metazoa; Chordata; Actinopteri; Salmoniformes; Salmonidae.